UCGGGGUGUAGUUCAGUGGUAGAAUGCUUACCUAGCAUAAAAAAGACCCUGGGUUCAAUCUUCAGUGCCAGAG
RNAcentral lists this transfer RNA (73 nucleotides) under Marmota monax (woodchuck). RNAcentral's name for it is "tRNA.Ala". Lineage: Eukaryota; Metazoa; Chordata; Mammalia; Rodentia; Sciuridae. The record is from RNAcentral.